AGUCAAGCUCUGGUUAGCCUCAUGGACCCACAUUUGUAUCCUGUGGUCCUGCAUGCCCACAAACUAUUUCCCUGCUGCCUCGGCUCUUUCUUCUUGUCCUCCCACCCCCAAAGACCUAUGCCAUUGGAUUGUGUUCUUGGCGACAGCACGCGAUGACCGGGUGAAGUCUGGUCAGUGUCAUAGCGUGGCCACUUGCCCUGUCCAAGACGCAGAACAAAUUUAAGACACUAUGUCUCGUAAUCUGAUAUAUAGCGACUGUCCUGAAUGGCAAAAAAAAAGGAUAAAACUCAACAUAAAGCAUUAUUACUUGUCAUAUACAUAUCGGCAGAAUAUAAUCAUUCUAAUAUUAAUACUUUUGAAACAAAUCACUCUUUAAACACUUGACAAAUGAGGAGAGGUAAUAAAUGAUGCGCACUGCUGAUGCCACUUCUUUGCUUUGUCAUGCAACUCAUUCUUUGGCAUAAUCUGUCACACAAGUAUAUAUUAAUCAACCAUUUGUUAAAACUACGGAUGCACAGUCAUUAUCGGCCCGAUAUUGGAAAAACGUCCAAUAUCGGGCCGAUAAAACUGGACCGUUAACGAGGUGUAUCAUUCAGCGGCGCGCUUGUCGCCGCCAGCGCAACGGCUGCUGUUGCAUUCGCUCGUGACAGUCAUCGAUAUUUUUACCAGUAUUAUUUGGCUACAACACCAAAAAUAGUCAUUAUCCUCUUUUCUUGCUUGCCGAGUCUUUGUCAAUAGGCUUUAGUAGUUUCUGUGCGUUUUCCCACAGGUUUUUGUGAAGAAGACAUCUUAGUCAUAUUAGUAUUCAUAUUACACUUCUAUCCCUGUCAAUCCAAUGUUUACAUUCAUGUAUACCAUAGCUCCAAAACGCCAUUAUUAUUGCAGCAGCAAUCAGGCUAUGCUCACAAUAACAAAACACUCCAUUGAGAAAUUGUCUGUUCACUAAUUUAACGGUAUUUUCUAUCAUAUUUUUUUAAAAAUUUAUAACAUUAGAAAUUGGAUACUGCUUACUAACAGUGAUUUCCUUGCUUGAGUCCAAAUAUUCAAGUUAUAAAUGCAGGAAUACUCUAAAAGGCAUGGGAAUCCUAUUAAUGUUCCUCCUCCUUACGAAGCACAGUUUAAACUGCAAGCUAUCAGUUACGCGGAGGAACAUGGGAAUCGAGCAGCCGCGAGAGAAUUCAAGAUCAACGAAUCCAUGGUUCGCAAGUGGAGGAAGCAGGAAAACGAGCUUCGCCGAGUCAAGAAGACUCGUAAAAGCCGGCAUCAUUUCUGAGGAGCCGCACGGCAACGAGACUGACUCGAACCUGGCGUGUUUGAUUGAGAACUUGCCCAGCUGUUCAUUUUGGGUAUAGAAGAUGAGGACUUUGAUGGAUUUGUGGAUGAGGAUUGAUCAAAAAAUAACAUGAGUACAUUGUUAAAUACUUCAAUAAAGUAAAACCGAACUCAGUUUUAAAAAACAUUGUUUUAGCGUUUAUGCAUGCUACCUUAUGUUUUAAGCUAGCGUAUGUUAUACCAUGCCUGCGCCCAAUAAUACGGUGCGCUUAUGUAUGUGUUAAAUAUAGAAAUAGACCCCGUAACUGAGACUGCGCCUUUUAACACGGUGUGCCUUAUGUUCGUGAAAAUAUGGUAAAUUUGCGUUUCAUCCUAUCACAAGGCAGCUCACUUUUUUGUAACUAUGUGACCUGCAAGUGAGAACAGCCUCUCACAUGGCACACAAGUGGCAGGGCUAAUCAGAUACUUGUGGGCCAAGACAGACAGAUGUGGAUGAGUUCCUGCUUGACUGGACCACCACUGGAGUGGGCUGAUCUGUUUUUGCUGAUGAUGGCCAUUACGCUGCUGUGCUACCACCUACAUAUAGACACUGGCCCGCUCGGCCCAGUACAAAUUUCUUUGUCUCCCAAAAUCUUCGCCCGCCGAAAAUGGCCCAAAAGUGCAUUUUUAGUGUCGUUCUGAAAUUCUUUUAUCACCAAAACAUUCUGUCCUGGACACGAUGUUGUGAUAACGUAAGGAGAAACUGUGACCAGCACCACCUCACUGGAUGAACAGGCACACAUUUGGGUCGCCUCAAGACGAUAGCUGAACCGAAGCUAAUGCUGCUAGCCUCAUACAGCAGCUUGUACUUUGCAGCCUGUAGAAUGUUAUUCUGCCCUCCCUGAGCGUGCUUUAAGCUGUUUGACACCCCAAUUAGAGUUUACUAUAAAACUAAACGCACUACAAAAAUAAUUACCAUCAUUUUAUAUUUAAAUACAAGAUACACAUCGUUUUAAAAAUCGAUGGGAAAACCCAAUGUCAAUUGGAAAACCCAAUUGACGGGCUAGCCUUUGGUCAUGGGACGGAUUUAUGGAUUCACACAACAACGCCAUAGUAACACAUACAGACAGGUGCAGUGUGCAGUGUUGACACUGCUAGCAAGAUUUGAAGGUAGCCUCACUUCACAACUCCCUCCCCCUCCCCCUCACCUCUGGCCGAAUCCACAUCCCUCGCAGGCGUGUACGCGCAAGUCACCAGCUGGCUUUACCGCUCUGGCCGAAUCCACAUCCCUCGCAGGCGUGUACGUGCAAGUCACCAGCUGGCUUUACCGUGGUCACCUUGUAGAAGCAACUUUGCCUUUUUCAGCAUGUCUUGUUCACCGAGUUCUCAAGAGGAGAGCACAGCUAUUCGUGACCACGGCCGACUACAACCCCUGGCCGAGUAUAUCUCUGGGUCGCAGACGAGGAGGAGAGAUUUGACAGACUGAGUUUAGAGUAAUCACGUUGUGAUAAAGACAUUUCUGCGACGUGACCCUAGCUCUAUAUUUUGACGAGAUAUCUGGGGAAGCUCCACGGACUUUUCAGCCCCUGAUCAAUGGAUUGGUGUUUACCAUCACUUCUGACACAUGACAAACCUCAUGGACACCAUCUUGAACGAGUGAGUUUUAUGCAGAGCGAGAUGAAUGUGGAAUGACAUCUGGGAAGCUGAUGACCUUUGUGACCCUGGAGAGAACAACAGACAAUUCUGCCAAGGCCGCCUAGCGCCAAUAUGUAAUGUAGAAAAUCCCCAAGGACAUUAUAUAUGAUUCAGACAACGAGGAAACAAAUUCCACAUUUUCAAAGCAUUGCUCCAGUAGAAAUGUGCAUGUUACAUUACUUUAUAAAUAUUUGUGGAUCCAUUUGCACCUUCUUUUUAAAUUUACUUACCUCUACCAUUUUUCAAUUAAAUUUUUAUAAAUAAAGAACUGAAAAUUAAUGUUUCCUUCUUCGCAAUUGCCACUCAGAAAUCAGUGUUACAUUUCGUAUCUCCUUCCUGUUCAUUAACAUCAGUGUC
Long non-coding RNA from Phyllopteryx taeniolatus (common seadragon), 3303 nucleotides. RefSeq lists it as uncharacterized. Lineage: Eukaryota; Metazoa; Chordata; Actinopteri; Syngnathiformes; Syngnathidae. The record is from RefSeq and is a predicted model, not a curated record. The transcript is spliced from 4 exons.